This 468-nucleotide ribosomal RNA is filed under the name uncultured bacterium. RNAcentral describes it as "bacterial SSU rRNA". It matches the Rfam family "Bacterial small subunit ribosomal RNA", at positions 28 to 507 of the family's 1533-position model. The record is from RNAcentral.
GACGAACGCUGGCGGCGUGCUUAACACAUGCAAGUCACGGGGGCCCGCAAGGGCAACCGGCGAACGGGUGCGUAACACGUGAGCAAGCUACCGAUUUCUGGGGGAUAGCCGGCCCAACGGCCGGGUAAUACCGCAUACGUUCACUAGGCGGCAUCGUCUGGUGAGGAAACCUCCGGGGGAAAUCGAGGCGCUCGCGGCCUAUCAGCUAGUUGGCGGGGUAACGGCCCACCAAGGCGACGACGGGUAGCUGGUCUGAGAGGAUGGCCAGCCACAUUGGGACUGCGACACGGCCCAGACUCCUACGGGAGGCAGCAGUGGGGGAAUAUUGCACAAUGGACGAAAGUCUGACGCAGCGACGCCGCGUGUAGGAUGAAGCCUUUCGGGGUGUAAACUACUGUUGCCCGGGACGAAACUCCUUUUUCGAGAGGACUGACGGUACCGGGUGAGGAAGCACCGGCUAACUCUGUG